GUAACCAGAGGCAAUUAAGCACAGCUGAUGGUACUAAUGACAUAUUCUCUUUCCCCUAUAAGAGAGAGGAUGGAACCAGCAGGAAGGGGGAAGUUAAACUAUCUCUGUAGAAUGGCUACCAAGAGAGGGGAGCAUUUCAAGAAGAGCCAUUAAGCCGGUGACAAAUCUUUGGGACACCUGAAAAGGGGCUGAGAUACAGGACUGUCCCAGGAUUACAAGUGCAGCCACAUGGAAAAAACGUGUUUAAACCACGACACAGAGAUUUCUCUGGAGACAUAAUAACAAGUGAUCCAUACCACCAGAGGGAGGAAGGGCACCUGUAUCAGUGAUUUUUACCGGAUAGAUAAUCUACAGAGAUAUACUGUAGCUCCCCAUGUACUCUCUCAAGAUUGUGCUUUUCUAUACCAGAUAUUGUAUGACUAUGUACAAAACCAAAAUCACCUUAUUUUUGUGCAUAUCAAAAUCUGCUGAUGGUAUACAAAGUCUGCCAAUCUCAAAAUGUAUAUGGCCAAGGUAAGCAAGCCCGGGUAAAAUUAACACACUUACAAAGAGGGAAAGACACAGGAGUGUAGUGGAAAAAUGAUAGAAGACUAUACUCGCGACUGGCAACUUGCAAGCGCCUAGGCCCAGCGUGAUGACUCAUUGACAAUUAAAUUACAUUGUUUGAAUGGAAGACCUUCUGUGGGCUAUCACACUGGUCAAACACACCUUAUCUGUGGCUUUCUCCGGGGAGGGAUGUUCCCUCAAAACCCUGGGACACCAUUGGAGGUGAAAUCGUCAAAAUGAAUGUUACUGUGUGAAUUAAAUUGUCAUGUUUGGAUUGUUUCCAGAGUUCAUAAAGAGCUAUGCAUUUUGUUAUGUUUUAUUGUACUGUAAGUGCCAUGGAUUUAUUGUUACAGGGAAACUGAUUUUGUUCGGCGGAUGUCAGUUCAAAGAGGACAGUUCAAAGAGGAGCGACACAGUGUGUGCGCUCCUAUCAUUUAAAUUGAGUCGAUUAGAUUAGAAUCUGGGUGUGUUGUUCCUGUCUAUUGUUUUUACUAGCACAGUGCAAAGAAUUGUUAAUUCAGGUUGGUGCUGAGUUCCUACUUCGUUGUUUAAAAGGAACAUGGAUUUCUUCAUACUAUGAGAAGUUGUUAGCAAGCUCCUGUGUGUAUCACACACUGUUUUUUUCUGAACUGAAAGCAUGUGUAACCACAUUAAGUCUUAGCCUAUUGGUGAUAGUCGUUUACUCCGAGUAGUC
Molecule: long non-coding RNA, 1240 nt
Filed under: Salmo salar (Atlantic salmon)
Lineage: Eukaryota; Metazoa; Chordata; Actinopteri; Salmoniformes; Salmonidae
Description: lncRNA (ENSSSAG00000105754.1)
Source: RNAcentral